GAUGAACGCUGGCGGCGUGCCUAAUACAUGCAAGUCGAGCGAACAGACGAGGAGCUUGCUCCUCUGACGUUAGCGGCGGACGGGUGAGUAACACGUGGAUAACCUACCUAUAAGACUGGGAUAACUUCGGGAAACCGGAGCUAAUACCGGAUAAUAUAUUGAACCGCAUGGUUCAAUAGUGAAAGACGGUUUUGCUGUCACUUAUAGAUGGAUCCGCGCCGCAUUAGCUAGUUGGUAAGGUAACGGCUUACCAAGGCGGCGAUGCGUAGCCGACCUGAGAGGGUGAUCGGCCACACUGGAACUGAGACACGGUCCAGACUCCUACGGGAGGCAGCAGUAGGGAAUCUUCCGCAAUGGGCGAAAGCCUGACGGAGCAACGCCGCGUGAGUGAUGAAGGUCUUCGGAUCGUAAAACUCUGUUAUUAGGGAAGAACAAAUGUGUAAGUAACUAUGCACGUCUUGACGGUACCUAAUCAGAAAGCCACGGCUAACUACGU
This 496-nucleotide ribosomal RNA is filed under the name uncultured bacterium. Its description in RNAcentral is "partial 16S ribosomal RNA". It matches the Rfam family "Bacterial small subunit ribosomal RNA", at positions 28 to 506 of the family's 1533-position model. The record is from RNAcentral.